UACGUAGGGUGCAAGCGUUGUCCGGAAUUAUUGGGCGUAAAGAGCGUGUAGGCGGCCACACAGGUCAGCUGUGAAAACUCGAGGCUCAACCUCGAGACGUCGGUUGAAACCGUAUGGCUAGAGUCCGGAAGAGGAGAGUGGAAUUCCCGGUGUAGCGGUGAAAUGCGCAGAUAUCGGGAAGAACACCUAUGGCGAAGGCAGCUCUCUGGGACGGUACUGACGCUGAGACGCGAAAGCGUGGGGAGCAAACAGG
This 253-nucleotide ribosomal RNA is filed under the name uncultured bacterium. Its description in RNAcentral is "partial 16S ribosomal RNA". It matches the Rfam family "Bacterial small subunit ribosomal RNA", at positions 524 to 776 of the family's 1533-position model. The record is from RNAcentral.